GCGUCUGGGCGGUCGCAGCGAGGCGGGGCGCUGUCGCCCUAGGACAGCGAGAGGGCCCAGGGAGUGGAAUGGUUAAGAGGCUUCUGGAGCUUGCUGAGAGGCUUCUUUUAUACUGAAAGGGGAGGGCGUAAAGUCAAACACUUCCUGGUUCCCGUCAGCCUCUGGAGGGGAUGUGUUAUUCGUUCACAGGUGAGCCUGGCCAGCUAAACAAAGGAGCUGCCAUCACCAUCCUGCCACCACAUGGAAUCUUGCAUGAAGCCAACAUGGUGGCAAUCACAGCUGAGAGAUGGAGGAAGAUUGGGAGCUGAUGACAUCAUUUGAGCCCCUGAAUGAAGCCAAUACAUUCUAUGUUUCUUAACGUGGUUUCUGUUACUUCCAAUUCAAAAUGUUCAAUAAAAGAUAAGUUAGAAACUCUUUUAACUGAUUAA
Long non-coding RNA from Orcinus orca (killer whale), 428 nucleotides. RefSeq lists it as uncharacterized. The record is from RefSeq and is a predicted model, not a curated record. The transcript has 3 exons. Lineage: Eukaryota; Metazoa; Chordata; Mammalia; Artiodactyla; Delphinidae.